GGGGCUGAUUCUGGAUUCGACGGGAUUUGCGAAACCCAAGGUGCAUGCCGAGGGGCGGUUGGCCUCGUAAAAAGCCGCAAAAAAAUAGUCGCAAACGACGAAAACUACGCUUUAGCAGCUUAAUAACCUGCUUAGAGCCCUCUCUCCCUAGCCUCCGCUCUUAGGACGGGGAUCAAGAGAGGUCAAACCCAAAAGAGAUCGCGCGGAUGCCCUGCCUGGGGUUGAAGCGUUAAAACGAAUCAGGCUAGUCUGGUAGUGGCGUGUC
This 265-nucleotide transfer-messenger RNA is filed under the name Salmonella enterica. RNAcentral describes it as "partial transfer-messenger RNA". It matches the Rfam family "transfer-messenger RNA", at positions 1 to 271 of the family's 374-position model. From Rfam's summary of the family: Bacterial tmRNA, also known as 10Sa RNA or SsrA, is named for its dual tRNA and mRNA-like properties. Its role is to liberate the mRNA from a stalled ribosome. Lineage: Bacteria; Pseudomonadati; Pseudomonadota; Gammaproteobacteria; Enterobacterales; Enterobacteriaceae. RNAcentral also lists the same sequence under 1 other name. The record is from RNAcentral.